Physeter macrocephalus (sperm whale) is the source of this 1636-nucleotide long non-coding RNA. RefSeq lists it as uncharacterized. NCBI's taxonomy places the organism in Eukaryota, Metazoa, Chordata, Mammalia, Artiodactyla, Physeteridae. The transcript is spliced from 3 exons. The record is from RefSeq and is a predicted model, not a curated record.
CUAAUUAUUUACUUCUCCCUCCUCCUCUUCUCACAGUGCAGGCCCCCCCGGAGUGUUUGACGGAUGAGCUGAAUUCCUAUCAAAGAGAUACUGAUGUUGGCUGCCUGCAGCGCCCGCCGGCAUUAGCACUGAUGUUUGACACUGUCGGCUUCGAUCAUUAAUUAUGUACAGGUACAUCUGAAGACAGCUCGUUGGGAAGACUUGAGUACAGAAUGUAGAUUGUCAACCAGGCCGCAUUUGCUAUUUGUUUAGUGUCUGUCUUGCCUCCUGCUAGAUAAUAAGCUUCCCGAGACCAGAAGCCCAUCUCCCUUCUUCCCUGCUGCCUUCAGGUAAUGCCUGAACACAAUGGUUACUCCGUACUCACUGAAUGAACAAAUAACCCAAUGUCUAUGGCUUUUCUUAGUUACGGAGGUUCUCCUGUUUCCUCUCAAAUUAUUUGAAGCCCUGGUUUAACCGGGCGGGUUGCCACACAGCUAAAAGAUGACUGACGUUCCUCAGUCUUUCUCUCUUAUAGGGAGAUGUGGCCACAUGGCUAAGUUUUGGCCAAGGAAGGGUAAACUGCCAUGUCGGUGGGACUUCCAAGCUGAGAUGUGAUGGCUGGAGCUGCAAAACCAUCCUGGAUAAUGAGGAAGAGGCCAAACCAUAGGAACAGGGGAGCAGAAUCCUGAAGGAGCCCAGGUCCCUCACAACGGUGAGGCCGACACCCCAGCCCUGGACUGCCGGCCUCCAGCUCUUCCAUGUGCCUAUUUUAUGACAUCUUGACCUUGCUGACUCUGAUUUUGCCACUGUAGACAAAUGAUGAUACAGGGGCCGUCAGACACUAGCACAGAUAGGAAAAUGCCAUCAAACCCCCCAGAGAGCCCAAGUCCAAGAGAUUUCAUUUUAUUCAUUAUCAAACCUUAUCAAAUGCUUAUCAAAAGAGGAUCAGAAACCAUGAAUAAGAAACAUGAAGAGGAUAUCUGUGGAACUCCGUGCUUAUCAAGGUUCUGUGAAAUUCACAUUAAAAUUCUGCUUUCCAUAUGUGUAAAUGAAAAAAGACUAAUUUUAAUUUGUGUAGACUGGAGCCUUAAAGCAGCGUACUCUCUAAGCAGGCAGCAGUAACUUAAUCCUCCAUUCCAAACUAAUUACAUUAGAAUCAUUCUGAUUGGGACCCACGGCUCCCUUUGAUGUUAAACUCCUUUUGCCUUUCAUCCACAAUCAUUCUCUGGGCAAGAGAGAAUGAUUCUUCCCCACACCCUCCCAAUCCUGCUAGAUCAUGAAGCUAUGGCUCUUGAAGUUCAAUUUUAUUUUGAUGAAACACCAAGGGACUGAAAAUUAUUUUUCACUGAAGAAGACUGACUUUGGUCUGAAAACUGCAGGAAGAAUUCUAAGUGUGACAGAAUGUAGCACAUCCAACACCAAGAAUAGCAUUUUUCCUUCACAAAGUUUACUCACGUGUGAAAGAACUUGCUGAAUGCACUCAUUACACCAUAAGCUCUCCUCCCCUCCCACCCCUCCCCUGGCCCCAGUGGGUUUGUCCAUCAUGUUUCUUACCCUUUUGACAAAGCAUUACCCAGGGGCUCACUCAGUGCUCAACUCCAAGGGGGUCUCACCUUUCUCUGGUAAUAGAUAAACUGAAACACGAUAAGAUUUUCAA